This is a long non-coding RNA of Branchiostoma floridae (Florida lancelet), 1094 nucleotides long. RefSeq lists it as uncharacterized. Lineage: Eukaryota; Metazoa; Chordata; Leptocardii; Amphioxiformes; Branchiostomatidae. The transcript is spliced from 3 exons. The record is from RefSeq and is a predicted model, not a curated record.
CUAGUUUCCAAGAUGGAUGCCAUCUUGGCGCUAAAAAGCAUGCCCGGAGGGAUACGUCUUUCGCGAUCCCAAUUGCUACCGGGUCAUAAAGGCCUCUGUAAACUUCUUCGAGGCACAGGUUGCUUGCGUUCGAGAUGGCGGCAGCCUUGCGAGUCCCAGAAGCCUGCACGAGCAUGGCGCCAUAUCCUCGUUGCUGUCCGAAUCGGCAAUGAUCGGCAUAAAUGACCUGGACGCGGAGGGAACGUGGAUGUACAUGGACGGCACAUUGGUGGGGAAUUUCAGCAGAUGGUCGGAUGUUCUUAACACGAACUCGAAAGACUGCGUAGCCAUGAGGAUAGACUUGAAGUUAAGUUGGACUCCACACCACUGUAAUCCAGAUUCGGAAGGAAAAGCCCAACUUUCGUCCUUUGUUUGCCAAAUAGCUGCAGAUGAUUACGGAAAAAUGAAGAUGCCAGAACAGGCACAAGAUAGACCUGCUUUGGAAACUACAGAUUCGUAUUCAACAAUACCGCAAAAGGAUGAAGAAAAACGCACAACAAAAAGAACUCGAGUAUCAGCGAAAAAGUACGAUGCGGCUAUUGGCCUAUUAACAAUGACAACACUUUCGUAUGAUGACUACAAUAAGCAUAUCCCUGGGGAAAUACUUCAAAAGAACCUGUCUCCUCUAAAAGUUUUGAAACGACUUCCACGAGAUGUCCCUAAUAACCAGACCACCAUGCGAACCAUCUACCAUGGGACAAAUCGCACAACACAGUUAACGACAAUCCCGACAACUCGCCAUGUAACUACACAGUUUACGACGAUCCAAACAACAGACCAACCUACGACAAUCCCGACAACAAAGCAUGUUACUACACAUUUAACAACAAUCCAAACAACAGACCAACCUACGACAAUCCCGACAACAAAGCAUGUAACUACACAGUUAACAACAAUCCAAACAACAGACCAACCUACGACAAUCCCGACAACAAAGCAUGUUACUACACAUUUAACAACAAUCCAAACAACAGACCAACCUACGACAAUCCCGACAACAAAGCAUGUUACUACACAGUUAACAACAAUCCAAACAACAGACCAACCUACGACAA